This 67-nucleotide transfer RNA is filed under the name Dryaderces aff. inframaculata DO-2022. RNAcentral describes it as "tRNA-Cys". Lineage: Eukaryota; Metazoa; Chordata; Amphibia; Anura; Hylidae. The record is from RNAcentral.
AGGCCCCGGGGUGUUACAUGUGGGAUUGCAAAUCCCAAGAAGCAGGCUAGAGGCCUGCCGGGGCUUC